AUACUUACUUGGCAGGGGCGAUACCAUGAUCACGAAGGUGGUUCACCCAGGGUGAGGCUCUGCCAUUGCUGACCCUUGCGAAUUCCCCAAAUGCGGAAUUCUCGACUGCAUAAUUUCUGGUAGUGGGGGACUGCAUUUGUACUCUGG
Pygocentrus nattereri (red-bellied piranha) is the source of this 147-nucleotide small nuclear RNA. Its record names the gene U1. It matches the Rfam family "U1 spliceosomal RNA". From Rfam's summary of the family: U1 is a small nuclear RNA (snRNA) component of the spliceosome (involved in pre-mRNA splicing). The record is from Ensembl. Lineage: Eukaryota; Metazoa; Chordata; Actinopteri; Characiformes; Serrasalmidae.